This 446-nucleotide ribosomal RNA is filed under the name uncultured bacterium. Its description in RNAcentral is "bacterial SSU rRNA". It matches the Rfam family "Bacterial small subunit ribosomal RNA", at positions 330 to 793 of the family's 1533-position model. The record is from RNAcentral.
UCCAGACUCCUACGGGAGGCAGCAGUGGGGAAUAUUGCACAAUGGGGGAAACCCUGAUGCAGCGACGCCGCGUGAGUGAGGAAGUAUUUCGGUAUGUAAAGCUCUAUCAGCAGGGAAGAAAAUGACGGUACCUGACUAAGAAGCCCCGGCUAACUACGUGCCAGCAGCCGCGGUAAUACGUAGGGGGCAAGCGUUAUCCGGAUUUACUGGGUGUAAAGGGGGCGCAGACGGCAGCGCAAGCCAGGAGUGAAAGGCCGGGGCCCAACCCCGGGACUGCUCUUGGAACUGCGCGGCUGGAGUGCAGGAGGGGCAGGCGGAAUUCCUGGUGUAGCGGUGAAAUGCGUAGAUAUCAGGAGGAACACCGGUGGCGAAGGCGGCCUGCUGGACUGCAACUGACGUUGAGGCCCGAAAGCGUGGGGAGCAAACAGGAUUAGAUACCCCCGUAA